Molecule: long non-coding RNA, 1576 nt
Filed under: Gallus gallus (chicken)
Lineage: Eukaryota; Metazoa; Chordata; Aves; Galliformes; Phasianidae
Description: lncRNA (ENSGALG00010001444.1)
Source: RNAcentral
UUUUCUCUUCAGAAAUCCCCCACUUAACACAAAAAUCACGCGUUUUCUCUUCGACAAUCCCCCAUUUAAGCGAAAAAAUCACGCAUUUGCUCUUCGAGAAUCCCCCAUUUGACCCAAAAAUCACGCGUUUUCUCUUCGGAAAUUCCCCAUUUAAGCAAAAAUCACGCGUUUUCUCUUCGACAAUCCCCCAUUUAACCAAAAAAUCACGCGUUUUCUCUUCGGAAAUUCCCCAUAUAAGCAAAAAUCACGCGUUUUCUCUUCGACAAUCCCCCAUUUAACCCAAAAAUCACGCAUUUUCUCUUCACAAAUCCCCCAUUUAAACCCGAAAAUCACGCGUUUUCUCUUCGAGAAUCCCCCAUUUUAGUGAAAAUCACGCGUUUUCUCUUCGAGAAUCCCCCAUUUAAGAGAAAAUCACGCGUUUUUUCUUUGAGAAUCCCCCACUUAAGCUGAAAAUCACGCGUUUUCUCUUCGCAAAUCCACCAUUUAGCCCGAAAAUCAUGCGCUUCCUAUUCGCAAAUCCUACAUUUAAGUGAAAAUCACGCGUUUUCUCUUCGAGAAUCCCCCAUUUGACCCAAAAAUCACGCGUUUUCUCUUCGGAAAUUCCCCAUUUAACCCGAAAAUCACGCGUUUUCUCUUCGACAAUCCCCCAUUUAACCAAAAAAUCACGCAUUUUCUCUUCACAAAUCCCCCAUUUAAACCCGAAAAUCACGCGUUUUCUCUUCGAGAAUCCCCCAUUUUAGUGAAAAUCACGUGUUUUCUCUUCAAGAAUCCCCCAUUUAACCCGAAAAUCACGCGUUUUCUCUUCAAGAACCCCCCAUUUAACCCAAAAAUCACAUGUUUUCUUUUUGAGAAUCCCCCAUUUAAGCAAAAAUCACACGCUUCCUCUUUGCAAAUCCUUCAUUUAAGCGAAAAUCUGGUGGUUACUCUUCGAGAAUCCCCCAUUUGACCCGAAAAUCACGCGUUUUCUCUUCGAGAAACCCCCAUUAACCCGAAAAUCACACGUUUUCUAUUCGGAAAUCUAUUGUUUAACCCAAAAAAUCACGCGGUCUUUCUUUGCAAAUCCCCCAUUUAAGCAAAAAUCAAGCAUUUUCUCAUCGGAAAUCCCCCAUUUAAGCGAAAAUCACGCGAUUUCUCUUCGAGAAUCCCCCAUUUAGACCGAAAAUCACGCGUUUUCUCUUUGACAAUCCCCCAUUUAAGAGAAAAUCACGCGUUUUCUCUUUGACAAUCACCCAUUUAACUUGCAAAUCACACGUUUUCUCUUUGGAAAUCCGCCAUUUAACUGAAAAUCACGCGUUUUCUCUUCGAGAAUCCCCCAUUUAAGCCGAAAAUCACGCGUUUUCUCUUUGGGAAUCCCCCAUUUAACCGAAAAAUCACGCGUUUUCUCUUCGCAAAUCCCCCAUUUAAGCAAAAAUCACGCCAUUUUCUCAUCGGAAAUCCCCCAUUUAAGCGAAAAUCACGCGAUUUCUCUUCGAGAAUCCCCCAUUUAGACCGAAAAUCACGCGUUUUCUCUUUGACAAUCCCCCAUUUAAGAGAAAAUCACGCGUUUUCUCUUUGACAAUCACCCAUUUAACUUGCA